This 468-nucleotide ribosomal RNA is filed under the name uncultured bacterium. RNAcentral's name for it is "partial 16S ribosomal RNA". It matches the Rfam family "Bacterial small subunit ribosomal RNA", at positions 28 to 507 of the family's 1533-position model. The record is from RNAcentral.
GAUGAACGCUGGCGGCGUGCUUAACACAUGCAAGUCGAACGGUGAAGGCGGAGCUUGCUCUGCUGGAUCAGUGGCGAACGGGUGAGUAACACGUGAGCAAUCUGCCCCUGACUCUGGGAUAAGCGCUGGAAACGGCGUCUAAUACUGGAUACGAGCUGCGAAGGCAUCUUCAGCAGCUGGGAAGAAUGUCGGUCAGGGAUGAGCUCGCGGCCUAUCAGCUUGUUGGUGAGGUAAUGGCUCACCACGGCGUCGACGGGUAGCCGGCCUGAGAGGGUGACCGGCCACACUGGGACUGAGACACGGCCCAGACUCCUACGGGAGGCAGCAGUGGGGAAUAUUGCACAGUGGGCGAAAGCCUGAUGCAGCAACGCCGCGUGAGGGACGACGGCCUUCGGGUUGUAAACCUCUUUUAGCAGGGAAGAAGCGAAAGUGACGGUACCUGCAGAAAAAGCGCCGGCUAACUACGUG